CUCCUGGUUAACAAAAAGAAGAAUAAAAAUUAGUGUAAAGGAUUUAUUUAAUUGUAAAUCAACAUGUUUUAAUUCUUACCAACCAGUGAGAAUCAACCUUUUCUUUAGGAAAAAAACUAAAGUACAAAUACAAAAUACAAUUAAAAUUGAAGAUUUAAAUAAGUGUCCUGCUUGCUGAUUAAAAUCCAUGAUUUAAAUUGCUUUGGUUUAAAUAAGCCCACACUGUUUGUUAUGGAGAUGCAGCAAAUGCUCUAUAGUUAAAACAUAAUGGGAGAUUCAUCUUAGGUGGCUUUAGAUUCUCCUCCUUAUCUUCACCAAAAAUUAAUGAAACUACCUCUGAGUUGGUAACAGGUUCCUCUCCCUGAGUUUUUUGCUUUCUUUUCGUGAGAACUUUGAAGCAAAUAAUAAUUUAUUUCCAAGGUAUGGAUGGAAGUGUGACAUCUAGAAAAGUAUCCCAAUCCUUUUUUGCCCCUUGCAGCUUAAAACUAGACACUCAAUAUUUGUCUUGUUUUUGGGGGUGCUGUUUGAUCUUUUGGAGAGUGCUGAUUAUUAAGAGGAUAAUGUGUGCUUUAGGUUAAAUAUAUAGAUGAAUGUAUUAUGAUGCCUCCAUAGACUCCAGAGCUUUUGAAUUUUGGAUUGGUCAUUGUGGAUUGUAGUGGUCCAUUUUGUAAUGUCCAUACUGUGCCUUGAAAUAGGGGUGUCAGACAUACAGCCUUUGGGUCACAUUUGGCCUACGUGGCAAAGAUUGUCCAGAGUCUAAGUUUAUUUGUCUAAAUGAAAGUUUCUAGCCACCAUGGCUGCAGAGAGAGAUCCUUCCCAGUCUAAACUGGUUAUGUCUGAAACAAAUAGCUAUGGUGAAUUCCAAAAGCCAGUGAUACUUGAAUGUCAACAUCAGAUAUUUGAUUGCUGAUUGUUUUGAUGGCAUAGGAAAGGGAGUGGGAGUGAAGUCCUUGGUGGCUGGAUUUGGAGCUGUGGGGAAGCAAAUGCAGAGAAAAAUAGAGGGAAGACAGGUCAAAGGGAUAGAAACAGAGAAGGUUGGAAAGAGUGGUGGCCUAAAGGAGAGCAUUUUUUUUUUUUUUUUUACUGAAUCUGAGUGUAUGAAUAAAUAAAAGUUUAGUUACUAAAUAAAGACUCUGUUCUCCCCUUGAUAUCUUUGCAAGCCUUCCACUGAUAGCUGUGGAUUUGAGGAGAGUAUGAAGUUCUAAAUGUAUGUUCUGGCCGAUGGGCCAUAUGGAAUCCAGCCCUCUCUCUUCUGCAGGGAAUUGACAUUCCUCCUCUUGUUGGUCUGCUGUUGGCAAAGGGCUUGCUGUUCCUGGUCUUCAGUUUGCUGCUUCGUGUUUUUGUACAGGCUGGGUCUCCUCCAGGAGGAGGGAAACCUGCCCCAUCCCUCCUCAGCAGAGGACUCUGCAUGUAUGUGGGACUUCUUGCUAUUCCAGUAAAGGAUUUUGGAGGGUAGCAUAAAGUUAUUUAAUGGCACUACUGUCAAGUAUUAAUGUAUUAUAGAGCGUAAAAUUUAGUUGAUUUGGUGUGUGUGUGUGUGUGUGUGUGUGUGUUCAUCAGCAUUAAUUGGGAGCACUGAGUUCAGGCAGCAGGAGAGACUAGGCUGUUUGGGCCUACACAAUGGGGGUGGGAGACAAGGCUGGAUGGGGUGUAGCUUGAGGCUAGUGGCUGGUGUAUUUCAGCUGGGUUGGUAAUUUUUUCAAGUCCUGAGCCUAAGACAUUGUUUGUUAGAGAAACUUGCACCAGAAUAGCUACAUUGAUGCAGUGUUUUCUGCAUUAGGGACUUCAUUAAUGUAAAUGGCACAUCAG
This is a long non-coding RNA of Chelonia mydas (Green sea turtle), 1809 nucleotides long. RefSeq lists it as uncharacterized. Lineage: Eukaryota; Metazoa; Chordata; Testudines; Cheloniidae. The record is from RefSeq and is a predicted model, not a curated record. The transcript is spliced from 2 exons.